CCUACGGGAGGCAGCAGUAGGGAAUAUUGCUCAAUGGGGGAAACCCUGAAGCAGCAACGCCGCGUGGAGGAUGAAGGUUUUCGGAUUGUAAACUCCUUUUGUUAGAGAAGAUAAUGACGGUAUCUAACGAAUAAGCACCGGCUAACUACGUGCCAGCAGCCGCGGUAAUACGGAGGGUGCAAGCGUUACUCGGAAUCACUGGGCGUAAAGAGCGCGUAGGCGGGAUAGUAAGUCAGAUGUGAAAUCCUAUGGCUUAACCAUAGAACUGCAUUUGAAACUGUUAGUCUAGAGUAUGGGAGAGGUAGGUGGAAUUCUUGGUGUAGGGGUGAAAUGCGUAGAGAGCAAGAGGAAUACUAAUUGCGAAGGCGACCUGCUAGAACAUAACUGACGCUGAUGCGCGAAAGCGUGGGGAGCAAACAGGAUUAGAUACCCCAGUAGUC
This 440-nucleotide ribosomal RNA is filed under the name uncultured bacterium. RNAcentral describes it as "partial 16S ribosomal RNA". It matches the Rfam family "Bacterial small subunit ribosomal RNA", at positions 338 to 795 of the family's 1533-position model. The record is from RNAcentral.